CCUACGGGUGGCAGCAGUGAGGAAUAUUGGUCAAUGGACGAGAGUCUGAACCAGCCAAGUAGCGUGAAGGAUGACUGCCCUAUGGGUUGUAAACUUCUUUUAUAUGGGAAUAAAACGUUCCACGUGUGGGAUUUUGUAUGUACCAUAUGAAUAAGGAUCGGCUAACUCCGUGCCAGCAGCCGCGGUAAUACGGAGGAUCCGAGCGUUAUCCGGAUUUAUUGGGUUUAAGGGGAGCGUAGGGGGAUUGUUAAGUCAGUUGUGAAAGUUUGCGGCUCAACCGUAAAAUUGCAGUUGAAACGGGCAGUCUGGAGUACAGUAGAGGUGGGCGGAAUUCGUGGUGUAGCGGGGAAAUGCUUAGAUAUCACGAAGAACUCCGAUUGCGAAGGCAGUUCACUGGACUGCAACUGACACUGAGGCUCGAAAGUGUGGGUAUCAAACAGGAUUAGGUACCCUAGUAGUC
RNAcentral lists this ribosomal RNA (460 nucleotides) under uncultured bacterium. RNAcentral's name for it is "partial 16S ribosomal RNA". It matches the Rfam family "Bacterial small subunit ribosomal RNA", at positions 338 to 795 of the family's 1533-position model. The record is from RNAcentral.